RNAcentral lists this ribosomal RNA (999 nucleotides) under Staphylococcus sp. Ca7-6M04. RNAcentral describes it as "bacterial SSU rRNA". It matches the Rfam family "Bacterial small subunit ribosomal RNA", at positions 34 to 1016 of the family's 1533-position model. The record is from RNAcentral. Lineage: Bacteria; Bacillati; Bacillota; Bacilli; Caryophanales; Staphylococcaceae.
UGCUUGCGGGGUGCCUAUAAUGCAGUCGAGCGAACAGAUGAGGAGCUUGCUCCUCUGACGUUAGCGGCGGACGGGUGAGUAACACGUGGAUAACCUACCUAUAAGACUGGGAUAACUUCGGGAAACCGGAGCUAAUACCGGAUAAUAUAUUGAACCGCAUGGUUCAAUAGUGAAAGACGGCUUUGCUGUCACUUAUAGAUGGAUCCGCGCCGCAUUAGCUAGUUGGUAAGGUAACGGCUUACCAAGGCAACGAUGCGUAGCCGACCUGAGAGGGUGAUCGGCCACACUGGAACUGAGACACGGUCCAGACUCCUACGGGAGGCAGCAGUAGGGAAUCUUCCGCAAUGGGCGAAAGCCUGACGGAGCAACGCCGCGUGAGUGAUGAAGGUCUUCGGAUCGUAAAACUCUGUUAUUAGGGAAGAACAAAUGUGUAAGUAACUGUGCACGUCUUGACGGUACCUGAUCAGAAAGCCACGGCUAACUACGUGCCAGCAGCCGCGGUAAUACGUAGGUGGCAAGCGUUAUCCGGAAUUAUUGGGCGUAAAGCGCGCGUAGGCGGUUUUUUAAGUCUGAUGUGAAAGCCCACGGCUCAACCGUGGAGGGUCAUUGGAAACUGGAAAACUUGAGUGCAGAAGAAGAAAGUGGAAUUCGAUGUGUAGCGGUGAAAUGCUCAGAGAUAUGGAGGAACUCCAGUGGCGAAGGCGACUUUCUGGUCUGUAACUGACGCUGAUGUGCGAAAGGCGUGGGGGAUCAAACAGGAUUAGAUACCCUGGUAGUCCACGCCGUAUACCAUGAGUGCUAAGUGUUAGGGGGGUUCCGCCCCUUAAUGCUGCAGCUAACGCAUUAAGCCCUCCGCCUGGGGAGUACGACCGCAAGGUUGAAACUCAAAAGAAUUGACCGGGACCCCUCAAGCGGUGGGAUUUGGUGGUUUAUUUCCUAUCAACGCAAAGACUUUCCCGAUUUUGGCGUCCUCCUGCCCACUUUAGAAAUGGAUUUUCC